Molecule: ribosomal RNA, 500 nt
Filed under: uncultured bacterium
Lineage: Bacteria
Description: bacterial SSU rRNA
Rfam family: Bacterial small subunit ribosomal RNA
Source: RNAcentral
UUCGGGUGAGCGGCGGACGGGUGAGUAACGCGUGGGAAUAUGCCCUUCUCUACGGAAUAGCCUCGGGAAACUGAGAGUAAUACCGUAUACGCCCUUCGGGGGAAAGAUUUAUCGGAGAAGGAUUAGCCCGCGUUGGAUUAGGUAGUUGGUGGGGUAAUGGCCUACCAAGCCGACGAUCCAUAGCUGGUUUGAGAGGAUGAUCAGCCACACUGGGACUGAGACACGGCCCAGACUCCUACGGGAGGCAGCAGUGGGGAAUCUUAGACAAUGGGGGAAACCCUGAUCUAGCCAUGCCGCGUGAGUGACGAAGGCCCUAGGGUCGUAAAGCUCUUUCGCCAGGGAAGAUAAUGACGGUACCUGGUAAAGAAGUCCCGGCUAACUCCGUGCCAGCAGCCGCGGUAAUACGGAGGGGACUAGCGUUGUUCGGAAUUACUGGGCGUAAAGCGCGCGUAGGCGGAUUGGAAAGUAUGGGGUGAAAUCCCAGGGCUCAACCCUGGAAC